RNAcentral lists this transfer RNA (73 nucleotides) under Stegodyphus mimosarum. It matches the Rfam family "tRNA". From Rfam's summary of the family: Transfer RNA (tRNA) molecules are approximately 80 nucleotides in length. Lineage: Eukaryota; Metazoa; Arthropoda; Arachnida; Araneae; Eresidae. The record is from Rfam by way of RNAcentral.
GUCUUCAUGGUGUAGUGGUCAGCACGCUCGACGCGUAACCGAGAGGUCCGUGGUUCGAUUCCGGGCGAAGACG